AUUGAACGCUGGCGGCAGGCCUAACACAUGCAAGUCGAACGGCAGCACAGAAGAGCUUGCUCUUUGGGUGGCGAGUGGCGGACGGGUGAGUAAUGUCUGGGAAACUGCCCGAUGGAGGGGGAUAACUACUGGAAACGGUAGCUAAUACCGCAUAACGUCGCGAGACCAAAGUGGGGGACCUUCGGGCCUCACACUAUCGGAUGUGCCCAGAUGGGAUUAGCUAGUAGGUGGGGUAAUGGCUAACCUAGGCGACGUACCCUAGCUGGUCUGAGAUGAUGACCAGCCAAACUGGAACUGAGACACGGUCCAGACUCCUACGGGGGGCAGCAGUGGGGAAUAUUGCACAAUGGGCGCAAGCCUGAUGCAGCCAUGCCGCAUGUAUGAAGAAGGCCUUCGGGUUGUAAAGUACUUUCAGCGGGGAGGAAGGCGGUGAAGUUAAUAGCUUCACCGAUUGACGUUACCCGCAGAAGAAGCACCGGCUAACUCCGUGCCAGCCGCCGCUGUAA
Molecule: ribosomal RNA, 506 nt
Filed under: uncultured bacterium
Lineage: Bacteria
Description: partial 16S ribosomal RNA
Rfam family: Bacterial small subunit ribosomal RNA
Source: RNAcentral